UAUUAUUUCCAGUCAUAAUUUAUCAUUUUUUAAAUUCGGUCUUCCACUCAAAAGUGAGUGGUUUGUCAGAGUAUGUUAUGGCUUAGACCAAUACAGGUCACUUCUUAACAAUUAGUGAGGAAUUAAUCAUUUGUGGUGAUAGACUUCUAAAAUUCACAUUGAGAAGACACUAAGGAUAGUAUGGCCAAAGUUAGCUCCUUUUUAUCCUGAGGAUAAACCAUUGCAAACUCAAUUGACAAGAGAAUGUAAUUUCUUAAUAAGAAUUUUUUUCUUAAAUCUAUAUUCAGCUCUCUAUUUCAGUGCUUCUCUCCUACCAGAGGUGCAAGGAGUGAUCCUAGAACCACAGAUACAGCCAAGACCACGGAGAGCUUUUGACGUCAGGGGUCCACUUUCUCCACUGAACCCUUGGAGGCAGAAUAUCCAGCUUCUGGAGAGAGUGGGAAAGGAUAAUAACAAAUUUCUUUCAACUGCUAAAACAUCAUACUUCUUCAGCAAAAGGAAUUCUUCUAGCAGAGCCCUCAUGGAUGAUAUCUGUCACACAUGCCAGCACCUGCAGUUUGGAAGGCAGUGGUGAAUGGAUCCAUGCAAUAUGUCUAGAAGAUAACAAGGAUGAGCGAGCCACCUGAUCUUGUCAUUUAUAAACUUUGAGAUUUACUUUGGUUUACUCUUGGUCUGAAAAUGGAAAGGCUCAAAUAAUGAAAUAAUCUUUUCAGAUUGGAAUUUACAUGGCCAUGAAAAUAUCCCUUUCUAUUCAGAAGAUUGAAAUAGAGGAAGCUUGAGAGACUCCUUUCUUUUAAAAGCAGCUCUCUAUCUGUUUCACUUAAAAGAUUUGUGGGAUUGAAAAUCACCUUACUGAAGUAGACAAGCUUUUAUUUUUUUAUUUUUUUAAGUGGUAGAGGAAGUCCAAAAAACGUAAUGAAAUGGUUUUUUGUUGCCUAACAUUGAAAGGAACUAGUAAAUAAAGGGUGAACUUCUUAAUUAUUCAAAAAUUACUUUUAAUGUUUUAGCUCAUCUUUUGCUGAUCUUCAGCCUUAUUCUUACUGUAUUUGUCAAAUCAACAAAGAUUUUAAUAUAGAAGUAGACGAGAUAUCUUUUGAGAUCAGAGUAGCUUGGUCUGUCUUCUAAAGUAAUAAAUACCUGUUAAAACUUGACGUAUUGUUCUGCACUGAAGGCAUACUAAAGUUUGAAUAAUACUGUCACAAAGUAGUUGUUUAAAGAGCAAAGGAAAUUAGUAGUAUUAGUGUAAGCCUAUAGGUGUGACUAAGUGUUGCAGAAUAGUUAUCCAAACUAUCAAUUAAUUGAUAAAAGUAGUUAUCAAAAUGUUUCACUUUCUCUGUUUGGUAUCUAUUAACUGGUCAGUUAAAAGCUAUUAAAGAAAUUUUUUAAAGUCAUCCGAUGCUGCCAGUUGUUUUAUUUUGAUAUAAAUUUUAAGAAUAGAAGUUCUAGAUUUAUUAAUAUAGAGGCAACUAAAAAGUUUAGAAUCUCAAAGGUUUUAGAAGCUGCAUUUCCUAAAAUAUAAUCCAGUGUUUAGUCUUUCUUUGCUGUCUGUGAGGACUGUUUUGUCCUGAUUAAUUGUAAACAAACUUUUGUAAGUGCUUAAAAGUAAGUUUAGAAGAUCAAUUUGAACUAAAAUUUUCCCAGAGAGCUCUGAAUCCUCACAUUGCAGCUCUUUAUUCCUGACUUGUUUUUGUUAAAUGUUAAUGACAGUUGGUUUACAAACACAUAAAAACUAAAAAACAACCACCCAACAUUUUAGAAAGAACUCAGGGAACUGAAAGUGAAAUUUGCUUGGAAAUUAAGUUAGUUGAAUUAUUUGAACCACAGUAUAAAUCACUUUAUGGCCUGUGAGAUUAUUAGCUUUUUAUUUCCAGCUUUGUAGAUGAAAAUUGGUUUAAUCUGGUAAUCUCAUGCUUUGAUUAAAUUUUAGCUCUGUUUCUUAGUGUGCAAAAGAAAUGUAAGUGCAUUUCUGUUUACCUCAUGCCACUGAAAGCUAUCUAAAAGUGAAACUUUUUGUAUGUUAAUGUGAACUGAUUUGUUUAUUUAAACUUUUAUUUUGAUACAUUUUUCUAUCAGAAUUUUUUAUAUUUCGUGUUACAAUAUGCAUCCUAUAUUUUUCAGUGUUAUUUUAUGACUAUUAAUAUAAGCUAAUUUUUUCUAGAAUGAGUAAUUGUGUUAAUGUUUGUAUUAUGUGAUCAUUUGAAAACUAAUAAAUAUUUUCUCCAUGAAAAAAUGCACUUACUGAUAAAUGGCUUAUUUCUGUUUCAGGAGUAGAAAGUGAAUACUGCAACAGUAUUUCUAAGUGUAUUUUAAUUUGAUGUGUCUUCCUCUAAGUAUUUCUGAAUAUAUAUAUUCUGUUCUCUGUAUAUUGUAAUUUUUUGAGGAAAAAACUUUUUUUAAACUGUUAAAAUGAUUCUUUGUAAGGUCAUGUGAAUGUAUGAAAUAGGUGGUUUGUUUAGUUUGAUUUUUUAUUUUCCUGAUUAACAUUAUCUUAGCAUUGGUUCUAGAGGUGAAUUUUUUUUAUGCCAUUUUUAUAUGUCAGUUUUGCAAACUAUUAAAACUCUCUUGGGUUAACAUUGUAAAUAUCAGGAGUAAUUUGGUCAAAUCUUUUAAAGAUAGAUUGAUCAAAGUAUAUAACCUGUUUACAAAAUAGCAUACAAAAACAGUACCUCUACCCAGAAAAAAAAAAAAAUUGAAAAUAAUGGCUGAUUGGAGAACUACCUAAUUGAUAAAUCCUGUUAACAAGAGAACAAAAAUGUUUUGUAUUUUAUUGUUCUUUUUGAACAAAUAAUUAUAGAAGGAGAAAUCUUGACCCUCACAGUCUCUUGCUUUUAACCUUAUCAAGACAGCAUGGAGAAGGGUAAAAUCUGGUUUUAAUGAUUUUUGUCUCUAUAGCUAUAUAACCUUACUUUAUUGAAGCCACUGGAACAGUUUUCCUUUUCUAUGCAGGAUCUGCUAGAAGCAAGAGGAUUUCUUUUUAGAUUUGAAGAAAAGUUAUAUAAGAAAUGGACUCAAAAUUAAAAGUAGACAUUAAAAUGGCAUCUUUGGCAAGAAAUAAAAAUUCAAUUAAUGACAACCUGUGGAUUAAAAUGAAAUAAUUUGGCUCCCCAAAGAAAUUAUACUCUGAGAAAACAAGAAUUAUAAAAGGAAAUUACAAUUUAGAAUAGCCACUAUAUUGGGGGUGAAUUUGGUAAAUUUGGGAAAGAUGAGUAAAAAUUCUGUGUGCAAAAUUUUGUUUUAAGAAUUAAAGCUAUUAAAAGAUUUACAGACAUAGUAUAUUUCAAUAGAAGGCUGUAUUUUACUUGAAUACAAGAAAAAUUUGCAAGCCUUUCCUGUAUGCGUAUAAAAGGGUAGGGGAUUUGGUGUUAAAAAAUAUCCAUACUGGAAACUUCAAAAAUAUUGCAAAGAUGAUGAUGAAAUGAGGGUUUUAAAUAAGUGAUUUUUCUUACAUGCACUCUUCUGUACAUCAUCAAUAGCCUUCAAAAUAAAAGUUUUAUGGAAUGUCAAA
Long non-coding RNA from Galeopterus variegatus (Sunda flying lemur), 3505 nucleotides. RefSeq lists it as uncharacterized. The record is from RefSeq and is a predicted model, not a curated record. The transcript has 2 exons. NCBI's taxonomy places the organism in Eukaryota, Metazoa, Chordata, Mammalia, Dermoptera, Cynocephalidae.